Long non-coding RNA from Oxyura jamaicensis (ruddy duck), 2635 nucleotides. RefSeq lists it as uncharacterized. The transcript is spliced from 2 exons. The record is from RefSeq and is a predicted model, not a curated record. Lineage: Eukaryota; Metazoa; Chordata; Aves; Anseriformes; Anatidae.
GCACAGGAUGCUCUGGAAAUCCUGGCUGCUUUAUACAGGGAUGUAAAUAGGAAUUUUCUUCAGUUCCUUAAAAAAAAAGCUGGUAUUAGAGGUGCUGAUUUGAAGAAAUACAUUUGUAUUAUAUAUAUAUAUAUUUAAUUUGUACUUAGGCCAAUGAAAUAUUUGAGUUAUACAGAGUUUUGUCAAAAUUCAGUUGGUAUCUUUACUGAUCAGACAACAGCUGUCAAGUAAAUUAACCCAGAAGUCUAUUUUUAAGUUUAUGGAAAUUUGGAUCCAAAGACAGCAUUGACAAAAAUUCUAAUGAAUUUGUAGGCCAUGUAUUUAGCAAUACAUUUUUUCAUUUUAUUUGUAAAGUGCCUGUCUGAUACCCCGUUUUAUUCUGUUGAAGUGUCUUUUAUCUUGUUAGCAACCCAAAGGUUCAGAAAGCAUAAGGCUGGCCCUAAAAACACGACACCAGCUUUGAGAUAAAAUGCUUACACAUGGCUAGGUGAAUAAAUGUAAUAAACCAAUGUCUAUAUGUAAUAUGGUUUGGAGGCCUUCAACACCUCCAAUUUUUAUUUUUAAAAACCAGGAACAUAAUUCUUAAGUUGAGCAGGAAGCUGUGGCUGUAAAACCCCCCUUCCUACUUCCUCUCUCUCACCAGUUACUAAAUAUUGCAAAUCUCAUAAACCGUGAAAGUUGGCAAAUCAGAACAUUGCUUAGGUUUGAGGCUGAGGGCCAGGAGAUUUGGAAACGGUACUACCUGGUACAUCAGUACCAUGGAGCAUCAUCACUGAACGAGCUGCUGGGAUUUGGUUUAUAGCAGGUACAAAGUGGGGUCCUCAUAUUCUGUCUUGCCAGCCUCACUGGACUUGAUGGCAUGCCCUGCGAUUUGGGAAAGGAAGAGCUGUUAGGUGUGCUAUGGCUUGGCACUCAUCAACAUUUUUAUGCUGCUCCUUGCCUAAAUGAACUGUGGAAAUGCAAUCUGGGCAGAGCCACUGCAGGAUGGGUGGGAAAAUGUUCUGAAGCUGUGAUGAUCUCAUGGUUCCAGGUCAAAACAUGAGGAUCUGUAUAUAUAUAUAUGUAUCUGUAUAUAUAAUCAGUCUUUUCAGGAACACCCCUGACUUUGAAAGAGGGUGUGCGUGUUAAAUACAGGAAUUACACCCAGCUGAGGAAAACCUGGGAGGCAUGAGUGUCACUGGCUGUGGACCUGGGGGGCUUGGUGGGGACAUGCAGUGGGCACCUGGGCAGCAACAAUUGGUCACUCAAAUUGCAAAUGGGGAGCAGCUGGCUGCAGAGGUGGAGCAAUGAGGUAUUACAGGUGGUGGCCUGUAAUAACAAGUGGUGUCAGGUGCUUGUGAAUGAGGCACAUGCUGUCCUGCUGUUCCUAAUUGCUGAGCUCACUGGGCAGGAGGCACUUCUGGAUUCAGCUCUGGCAAAGCCUAAAUGGGAGUGUUGUCUCAUUUUGUGCUUAGUAACCACUGCAAGAGCACAUGCAGCUGGGACUCUAGCCUAACCCACCUCACCUCCCAAGAGCAUCUCUUUCUCUCCUCAGGCUUGGUGGGAGAGGAAGGAAACCUUUCCCAGGUCAGCCUGACAUGGAAGCAGGGAUCUUGGGAGCAUGCCUCACCUCCACGGGAUGAUCCAUGCGGGAGCAGUUUGCAGGCUCCGUCUCUGACCGGUUUCAGCGAUCCCAGUCCAGGGCCAGCCAAUUUAUCGCGAGGGCUUCGCUCGAGGCUCGCUGUCGGUUGGCAUCGGAAGGCGGCUGUAAAUAGUGAAUAAAUGAAUGGAGCAGACUCCGCUUUGGCAUAAGCAGCAAGUCCUCCUGCUGCUUUCAGGGGGCAUUGCAUCAGAGCUGGAUUUGGCUCCUUGGGAGGCGGCGUGAGCCAGUGGGCAAAGCAACAGGGGGAGGCAGAGACCUGGGUUUGCAACCCGCCUCUGCCACUGACUUCCAGCAUCACCUUGGGCAAGUUAUUUCUUCUCUCUGCCCUUGUCCCCCCUCCUCCCCAGCUUGCAUUUCUUUUGUUUCUGUGUACUGUAAGCUCCUCAGGGGAGGGGCUGCAUUCUACAGCUGCGAGUGGUGUAAGGAACACCGCUACCACGCUGAAAUAAUUGGAUGUCAGUCUGCAGAACAGGAAAGAAAAUGGUGCUGUAGCAUUCUUGGGUCCUUUUGGGUAAUGUAAGAUAUAUCGUAAAGCACUUUGGCUGCAACAACAAAGCUUAUUGAUUAGCCCUGAGUAUUCCAAAUUGUGUCUUUCUGCCCGAGAAGUAGCAGGAUGAAGAAUUAAAGUACUUACACAGGAGAAUAUUGUACAUGAGUUAUUGAGUAACCAUCAGCUCCGCGCCAGCACUGCUCGAUUUCUCUGGACUGUGUGUAACUUCUGAACAUUUUAUCUUUUUCCUUCUGCUUUCGCAGGCUCGUGCCAGCUUCUGCAGCAUAUAAAGUAGGUGCUAUUUUUAUUGAAACUGGCUUUAAUGUAGUAGAUUUUUCACACGUGUGUUGGUUUUUAUUGUUGGUCUCAUUCCUGAACUUUCUGGCACCUCUGAGUGUAAAGUCAGUUAUGUGCACAUUGUUUGGCAGAUGAAUUUCUAUUUCUGGGAAUCAUUUUCCUUCUAAAAUGUAUUUCUAUAUUAAAAAUGUGAUCUGUAUCCAUAA